RNAcentral lists this long non-coding RNA (193 nucleotides) under Habropoda laboriosa. Its description in RNAcentral is "uncharacterized LOC108577553". The record is from RNAcentral. Lineage: Eukaryota; Metazoa; Arthropoda; Insecta; Hymenoptera; Apidae.
CUAUUUUUCAGGACAGUUCAGAUUGCUGAACACACCAGGGUGGAACCACGCGCGAUCAACCUCCAUUUUUUACAGGUGUAAUGUGGAGCCCUCCCUGAGGCUUUUAGGCAACCCUGGCCGCUAUUUAACGAAAACUCAAGGAUACCUAUACAUCAGGACUCGAUCGGGUUGUGGGCCGCUCCAGGGACAACUC